This is a long non-coding RNA of Apis cerana (Asiatic honeybee), 2688 nucleotides long. RefSeq lists it as uncharacterized. The record is from RefSeq and is a predicted model, not a curated record. NCBI's taxonomy places the organism in Eukaryota, Metazoa, Arthropoda, Insecta, Hymenoptera, Apidae.
UUGCUUUAUCUCGUUUGUUCUUUUGAUCAGAUUUAUUUUUUGGUUUUUGUUCUAUACAUCAAAGAUCGUGAAAAUUGAAUCAAAUUGAAAAGUUAAAAUACUUUGUACAAAUUGUUUACACAAUUAUAUUAUGUAAUUUUAUAUUUAUUUUUGUUGGAAUAAUAAUAUAACAUGAAUAUGACACGUAUAUAUGCUAUAUGCUCACCUUUUGCAAUAUUCGAUAAAUGAAGCAAGCUACCAAUCGAUUAAGAUAAUUAAUUAAAUUAAAUUAAUUAGCAACUUCGAUAUUGCACACAUUCGUAAAAUAUUAACGAGAUUGUAUUGUACGAAACUGUUUCGCCUCGGUUAAAAUUCCAAUUUUAAAAUUUGUUAAUAUUAAUCUCUCUGAAUUUUUAACAUCAAUGUCAAGCUCAUUUUCACCACCAACCGUAAAUUUUAUACGAUUUCCAUUCAUAAUGCAUUAUGAUUGAAUAAUUUUCGAUGAAAUUAGGAAGAAAAAUAAAAAAAUAAAAAAAAAGAAAAGUACGAAUAAUUAAAAAAUAUUCAAUUAUCCUUUCAAUUCGUUUCCCUUAUGAAAUUUUUAAUAUUUAUCGUAUCGACGACAUCGUCUAGUAUAUGAUAUUAAAAAUUAAAAAUCAGUUACUGUAAAUGUGGGCAAGGAUCGCACCAAGCAUGUUCAAUUUCGAAAGAACAAAGUUUCCCAUUCAAAUCUAUACAUGUUGAUUACAUUAUAAAUAGUAACUACUAUAUCAUUAAUUUUAAAUGAUGAUUCGUCGCUGAAAUUAAUAUUAAACACGUAGAUCAGAUAAACAGCAAUUGAUUUAUCAUUGAUUGCCUUCGAGGAAUUCAUCUCUUCGCUAAUUAGAUAGGGAUCACAAGUCGCCCUCUCUGCCAUAAAUGUGUCGAUAUUUCGAUCAAUCACGAGAAUAAAUUCCAUUGAAAAAUAAUUAUCUCAAUUAUCUCGAUAUAUCUACAAUGAGAAUUUUAAUUUUAUUUAGAAAAAAUUCACGAGUGAAGAACGACGAGUUAAGAUAAAUAAAUAAUAAAUAAAAAAAUAAAACAAUACGCUAAGACAUGUAUCAUAAGAUCAAAUAUUUUCAUAUAUUUCGAAAAUAGGAAAAAGAAAGAAUUUUAGAAUUUAUCGCGCAAUAGAGAUUCGAAUAACAAUGGAGAGCACGCAUGAAACGCAUGAUAUUCGGAUAACAACGUAUAAAGUCGAGUAUCUUCGAUCCUGUGUACGCGCACCGUAUGUAAUCGUAUAGUCAUAAUUUUGCUACAAUAUACAUGUAGCGCACGGUUGCGUGUCAUGAAACGCAAAUGCGCAUUCCUCAUUGGAACACGUAGUUUGAUUUAUGCUCACGAACUCUCACGGUGUUUCCAGGACUACACACUACACGUGGGAGAUAAUAGUGUGAAUCAACCUCGAUCCAAUCCAUCCAAACUUUCACGCUUUCGGUGAUUUAAUUCUUCUUUCGAUUAAUCAUAUUACAUGAGUCAUGUAAUUCGAUUUUUUUAAUAAUCAUCUUUUUGAUUUUAUUUUAUUUUAAUUGUCUCUUUGAUACGAGUGGUUAAUUAUACUACGUAAAUAAAUCGCGACACGUACAAUUCUUUCGUAAUUAUUUUCUUUUUAAUUUAUUUUAUUUUUAAUUUAAUUAUCAAUAUAAUUUCAUAUUUCACUUAUUUUACGUAAGUAAACUGUAACGAUUUUUUAAAAUCUUUUAUUUUAUGUUUAAUUUUAUUUAUUAUUAAAUUGUCUUUCAGCUAACCUAUUCACUGAUAUGAAAUUGUAUAUUCUUAUAAAAUUAUCAUCAGUUUAAAAAUGUUUGUUUAUGAAGAAGUUUCCUUAAUCGAUUAAAAAAUUAUACAUAUAUGUAUUUAAGCAUGAGUAAUUUUUUUCAAGGGACAGUAUCUGAUAUUUAACCAUACAGGCUGAUGACAAUAGCGAGGAUCAAGUUUAGAACGUUUAUUGUCCUCUCGCACGCAAUCGAGUAUGCAAAAGCCAUUCGAAAAACACAUUUAGAACUUCUUGUUGAAUAGUCACGUUUUUAAAAAAAGCAGAAAGAAGAAUUCAACUAAGAGUAUCACUAAGAAUUUUUUAAUCCAAGGAUAAUUAAAAUUUUCCAAGGUUGCAAAACGUGUGAAACGAAUUUUGGCGUUGUUUAGAUAAAACGAUAAGAAACCAUGGAAUGACCGACCAGCCAGUUCUUCCUCCUGUCUCCUCCACUCUAUUAGAUUUUUAUCCGCGAGCUAAAAUAAAAAAAAUGCGGUUUAUCACGACGAAGCCAACAACACGGCGUAGCAUAUAAAAGAAAAAAAUUACAGCUGCAUGUGAAUCAAUAACGUGUCAAGAAAUAGAAAAAGUUGAUUAAAAUAUUUUUCAGUUAUAUAUUGAGAUAAACGAUUAAUAUUUUGAACACCUAUAGGAAAUUUAAGAAAUACUGAAAUAUAAAUUGCAUUGCAAAUCCAUAGCUUUUAAUCGCUGAAUAUCUAUAUUCAUGUUUUUAUACGUAUAUAUGAAUUAACAUAGAAGAAACAUACGUAAAACUUUUAGAAGAAUCGAAUAAUUAUUCUUCUCAAUGCUGCAAAUAUUAAUAUCAAUUUAAUUUGUAUCAAUUUGCAGAAUUCUUUUAUAAGAAAAUUUUUUGAAAUUAUGAAAUUCUAACCUAACUUUCGAUUAAAUUCUUCAAU